UACGAAGGGUGCAAGCGUUAAUCGGAAUUACUGGGCGUAAAGCGUGCGUAGGUGGUUUGUUAAGUCUGCUGUGAAAGCCCCGGGCUUAACCUGGGAAUGGCAUUUGGGACUGCAAGGCUGGAGUGCGGCAGAGGAGACUGGAAUUCCCGGUGUAGCAGUGAAAUGCGUAGAUAUCGGGAGGAAUAUCGAUGGCGAAGGCAGGUCUCUGGGCUGACACUGACGCUCAUGCACGAAAGCGUGGGGAGCAAACAGG
This 253-nucleotide ribosomal RNA is filed under the name uncultured bacterium. RNAcentral's name for it is "partial 16S ribosomal RNA". It matches the Rfam family "Bacterial small subunit ribosomal RNA", at positions 524 to 776 of the family's 1533-position model. The record is from RNAcentral.